CACCGCCACCGCCACUCCUUGUGCCAACAUCGCCCAGAUCCACCGCUCAGCUCUGCCCAGCGCAAGCCCUUCCGGCUCCCAGCCAAUCCCCCACCUCCCCUGACUCUCGAGACGGUGGUAUGAAGCCUGCCGGCCUUAUUCCCCCAUAGAUCGGUCGUCCUCUGAUGACCUCAACCCGCCAGAUCACGGGCUUCUUCCAUCACGCCACCCCCGUAGAAGCAGCAACUCUUAGCAGUCACGGCCGACGUCCUCGGCGUGGAUGGCUGUUUCGGCCGUGCAGUUGGCGACGUCUUCCGCCACCUGUGCAUCGAUGACGGCCUUGACAUCGCGUAUGUGCGACAGUACAGGAGGAUCUCUGACAAAGGCUUCCUGCCGGCCGUCAACGACGCGGAGAGCAAGCAAGACCUGAUCGGCUCGCCGGAGAUGCUUCUUCAUGUCCGUGGUCUACUUCAACCCAUUUGCCCUUCGCUGGAAGACGACUGGCCUGUGAGGGCCGACACGACGAGUUCCCGAGCAGUGCCUCGGUCGGAUGGAUGUGCUCAAGUUCAACGCCCUCAUCCCCUCUCCAGUCCCUGCUCGACGCCCCCAUCCCAUUCUGGUCGACGUCCCGAUCCAGCCGCAUGUACGGCUCCCCAGCUCGACAACCUUCAGUUCAGCAGCUCACCUCCCCAAGGUAUCUUCAGCAGCUCGUCAACGCCCAAGCGUCCCAAUCCAGUCUGCUUUUCUCUGCUUGUUUGUUUAAACUGAUCGAUGCAUAGUAUCUUCUGUAGCACUAACACUUACAGAGAUAUAGUGAGUAGAAAAAAAUUCCUCAAGGUAGCACUUGCAGUUACAAAAUUACAGUGGUCAAAAUUAAGGGCGGGUCGGCUCAUAAAACAGUCCAUUGUCUCUUCGGUAGCCCUAGCAAAAGAUGAAAUUGACGUCAUGUUUGCAUUAUGUAGCUCAUCUCGUAGAACAGUACGUACAUAGUUACUACUCCCUCCGUUCCUAAAUAUAAGUCUUUUUAGAGAUUCUACUAAAAGAUUACAUAUAGAUGUAUAUAGACAUACUCUAAAGUGUAGAUUCAUUCAUUUUGCUUCGUAUGUAGUCACCUAAUGAAAUCUCUUAAAAGACUUAUAUUUAGGAACGGAGGGAGUACAUUGUGCCUCACAUUGCAAUUCUUUUAUACUAUAUUGAAAUAUUCAGUUACAGUAUAUAGCUGAUGAAACUUGCACAAUAUUGUCAUUAUAAAUUCAGUUUAGUUGUAAUUUCUUUUGUACUAGGCUGCUGGCAGUGGUAAAUUCACCUUACUUGCACUUUCUUUUUUACUGUAUAUUGACAAAUUCAGUUUGCUGGCAAUUUCAAAAUUAAACAAAUAAACUCUUCAUGUAGUUCAGUCAAAUAGCUUAUGUUUCUUCCUUUUUUCUGCAAUAGUAGGCUACUCACAAUGUUUUCAGCAGGAUCAUAGGCCUCCUCACAGCCUCAAGUGGAAAAUCAAGAAAUGAUCCAACAUGGGAGCAAUCUUUGAUUAUUCCGAUGUAGCUUCAUUAUAUUUUUGUGUUAUGUAAUCCGUUGGUCUGAUACUGAUACUGAUAGUUUCUUGUUUGUAUGGUUGGCUGGUUGCAUUAUUCUAUUAUCACACUAAUCGUUUUUAUUUGCAUGGUUACAUGGUUGAAUAUUGCCCGGAUGGACUAGUUAUAGUCUAUAUGUGUUGUGGCAUUUUGAUAGUUUUUGUUUGCAUGGUUGAAUAUUGUCCAGAUGGACCAGCUAUAGUCUAUAUAUAGUAAUAUAAAUGAUGAUUGUUCUAUUCAAGUGUCAUAUUGUCAUGAAUGGCCUACAAAUAUACACCAUAAUCUAAAAUAUGCAAGUGUUUUUACAAAACCGCUAUGUAGACAUAGCGUCAGCAAUAUCACUCGCUAUCCAAAUUCCGCUACGCCGACCUCAAUCCGCUAUCAUCCCGCUAUCCGCUAUUUAAAACCUUGAGUAGGACAUCCCAUGUAUCAAUCUGCUACUUGUUAGAUUUAGUCGCUUAAUGGCGAACACUAAAUUCCAUGCUCACAUGUGUAGACAGAUCAUUAGUUGCAAACAUCAUCAAUCUCGCUCACACUUGUGUGUUUGAUCUGAUCUGUACUGUACUGUUUAGAUUCAUUCGAAUUCUGCCAGGUCCUGUGACUUCUGUUCAUGCAUGUAACGUAUCCUUGCCGAUGGUUCCAAAAUACACAUUGCCUCCUCGUAUAGAAAUAUAUCUCCAAUUAACUGUACUUGUUGUCGUGUAUUGAUCAGUAGAGCUAACAAUUUUAUAAAUGCCUUUGGGAUUCUUUUCUUGCUCUGUUGCUACAGAAUUACUAUGUUUACCUUUGCACCUUUAACACUAUUUGACACCCCUUGUGCAGGCUGAUGGAGAGUCUCUAUCGUAUUGCAUGUCUACAUUGUCACCAUCAUAUUGGUCAUGUAUUAAAUCUGCUAAUACUCUUGCAUCAUAGUG
This 2464-nucleotide long non-coding RNA is filed under the name Hordeum vulgare. Its description in RNAcentral is "long non-coding RNA (HVUL_LNC007825)". Lineage: Eukaryota; Viridiplantae; Streptophyta; Magnoliopsida; Poales; Poaceae. The record is from RNAcentral.